UAGUAUAAAUUUAUUYUUUAUUUUUGGUUAAGUAUGAUUUUUUAUUUUUUUUUUUUUGUUUUAUUUUAGGUAAAAUUUUAAUGAGUUUUGGUUUUGAAUUAUGCUGUUAAGAUUUGGGAAGCGACUUAGAUUAGUACCUAAUUAGUUAAAAUUUAAAAGUUCAGGAGUAAAGUGGUGUUUAAACUGAAAGAAUAUUGGCAGAUUUUCUAAAUUAUCUUUGGAGGUUGAGUGAUAAUUGAGAGCCCUCAUUAACGACUUUUUUAGUUGGCUCAUGUAUGAUCGUUUAUUUUUUUCUUAAGGAAAAAAAUAAAAAUUUUUAAAUUUUAAAAAUAGAUAUAUAUUUGGUGUAUAAGAUAGUUAUAUUUGACCUACAAUAUUUAAAGAUUUUGGAUUGUUAAUAUAGUGUUAAUUUGAAAUUGUAAAAGACAGUAAAAAAAUUUUUAUGUUUUUUUGAAGAGUAUUUAGAAGUGGUACAAAUCAUCCNUCAAUUGCCUAAA
This 497-nucleotide ribosomal RNA is filed under the name Skrjabingylus santaceciliae. Its description in RNAcentral is "partial small subunit ribosomal RNA". The record is from RNAcentral. Lineage: Eukaryota; Metazoa; Nematoda; Chromadorea; Rhabditida; Metastrongylidae.